Molecule: long non-coding RNA, 1452 nt
Organism: Cyprinus carpio carpio
Lineage: Eukaryota; Metazoa; Chordata; Actinopteri; Cypriniformes; Cyprinidae
Source: Ensembl
AAAUAUAUUAGACAGCAGAACUGUUUCCAACACUCAUAAUAAAUCAGAAUAUUAGAAUGAUUUCUAAAUGAUCAUGUGAUAGACUGGAUGUUACAUGUGACACUGAAGGCUGGAGUAAUGAUGCUGAAAAUUCAGCUUUGCAUCACAGGAAUAAAUUAUUUUUUUAAAGUAUAUUCAAAUAGAAAAACUAUUAUUUUAAGUUGUAAUAAUAUUUCACAAUAUUACUGUUUUUUCUGUAUUUUUGAUCAAAUAAAUGCAGGCUUGAUGAGCAGAAGAGACUUCUUUCAAAAACAUUAAAAAUAGUAAUGUUUCCAAACUUUUAACCUGUACUGUAUCUACGGCCUGUUGCCCGGCUAGUUAAGUUGCCAUCGUGAGAGAAUGAGGAAGGAAAUAGUAACUGACACUGAGACUUUCCUAACUAAUUACAAAUUAAAAUACUAAAUUUGGGGGCGGCAUCUGUACACUGAGACAUGCCACAUGUCAGUCACUCAGAGUCCAUCAUGAUGCAUUAUGGGACAGUCUUCAGCAGAGACGGUCAGUCACUCUCGUAUGCUGGCGGAGUGAGAGAACUGAGGGAAAAGAGUGCAUGGCCCAGCGUCCUCCACAUCCUUACAUUCACUGAAACACAAGCACAGCACUGAUCACACAACAACCUCACUUCCGUUCCUACUCACUUCAUCAUGCACAGAAGAGGGAGGCAGGGCUUGACCUUACCUUCUUCCCCAGGACCACGUGCACUUAAAUUACAAUUUAGGAGCGCAUAAAAAAAAACUUCAGGAGUGCAAUUAUAAUUCAUGAAAUAACGUGCUUUUCCUUAAUAAAAGGCAUACAAGAAGACAUUUACAAGCAAAAUUAGGAGCCCCUAAGGAGUCGUGAUGGAGUUCCCCAAAAAGUGCAUUCCAGAGAAACUGUGCCCUCUCAAAGUUAAAAACAUUUGCAUUCAUUCAUAAAAUGUGUUUGUUUGUGAAACAUUUGCGUUCGUUCAUAAAUCAUAUUUGUUCCUUCGUAAAACAAAUGCAUUUAUUUACAAAACAUUUGUGUUUAUUAAUAAAAAAAAAUCUGAAUUUGUUUGCAAAACGUUUGUGUUUAUUCGUAAAACAUUUGCGUUUGUUUAUAAAAAAUUUGUGUUCAUUCGUAAAACAUUUGCAUUUGUUUGUAAAAAAAUACUGUAAAACAACGACAUGCCGUACAAAAGUAAUCACAAUACACACACUCUCAACUCUCAGAAUGUACUUUGGUGGUACCAUGGUAAUACUAAUACAGUGUAAUACAGUACUGUUUUUUGUUAAUGACAUACAAAAUAAACACAUAUUAACAGAUUGUUUGUUUGUGACAGCUGAUGUUAUGAGGAACAUCUGUGCAUCCCUGAGACUCACAUCUGCAUCAUCUUCAAUCAUACAUGAUUUAACAAACUCGGGGGUUUUCAAUCUUUCAGAUGCCAUGGACCCCUAA